RNAcentral lists this unclassified non-coding RNA (176 nucleotides) under fungal sp. Its description in RNAcentral is "partial internal transcribed spacer region". Lineage: Eukaryota; Fungi. The record is from RNAcentral.
AACUUGUAACAAGGUUUCCGUGGGUGAACCUGCGGAUGGAUCCUUACCAAAGGGGUUAUUUCCACACGUAAUGUGAACUGUUAUGGUGAAUUUUUGCGGCCUGCCUUGCUUGCCGCCUGCAUGUAAUGUAAUUUAAGUCUUGUUUUUAACAUGAACCAAUGGAUCUGGUGGCUCUU